RNAcentral lists this ribosomal RNA (253 nucleotides) under uncultured bacterium. RNAcentral describes it as "partial 16S ribosomal RNA". It matches the Rfam family "Bacterial small subunit ribosomal RNA", at positions 524 to 776 of the family's 1533-position model. The record is from RNAcentral.
UACAGAGGUCUCAAGCGUUGUUCGGAUUCAUUGGGCGUAAAGGGUGCGUAGGUGGCGCCGUAAGUCGGGUGUGAAAUUUCGGAGCUUAACUCCGAAACUGCAUUCGAUACUGCGGUGCUUGAGGACUGGAGAGGAGACUGGAAUUCAUGGUGUAGCAGUGAAAUGCGUAGAGAUCAUGAGGAACACCGGUGGCGAAGGCGGCAUCCUGGACCGAGAUUGACGCUGAGGCGCGAAAGCCAGGGGAGCAAACGGG